Molecule: transfer RNA, 64 nt
Filed under: Heterocephalus glaber (naked mole-rat)
Lineage: Eukaryota; Metazoa; Chordata; Mammalia; Rodentia; Bathyergidae
Rfam family: tRNA
About the family: Transfer RNA (tRNA) molecules are approximately 80 nucleotides in length. Their secondary structure includes four short double-helical elements and three loops (D, anti-codon, and T loops). Further hydrogen bonds mediate the characteristic L-shaped molecular structure. tRNAs have two regions of fundamental functional importance: the anti-codon, which is responsible for specific mRNA codon recognition, and the 3' end, to which the tRNAs corresponding amino acid is attached (by aminoacyl-tRNA synthetases). tRNAs cope with the degeneracy of the genetic code in two manners: having more than one tRNA (with a specific anti-codon) for a particular amino acid; and 'wobble' base-pairing, i.e. permitting non-standard base-pairing at the 3rd anti-codon position.
Source: Rfam by way of RNAcentral
GGUAGCUUAGUGGUAGAGCACUUGCUUAGCAUGUACAAAGCCCUGGGUUCAAUCCCCAGUACCA